This 427-nucleotide ribosomal RNA is filed under the name uncultured bacterium. RNAcentral describes it as "bacterial SSU rRNA". It matches the Rfam family "Bacterial small subunit ribosomal RNA", at positions 356 to 773 of the family's 1533-position model. The record is from RNAcentral.
GGGGAAUAUUGGACAAUGGGGGCAACCCUGAUCCAGCAAUGCCGCGUGUGUGAAGAAGGCCUGCGGGUUGUAAAGCACUUUCAGUGGGGAGGAGGACUAAUUAGGUUAAGAGCUAGGUUAGUUGGACGUUACCCACAGAAGAAGCACCGGCUAACUCUGCGCCAGCAGCCGCGGUAAUACGGAGGGUGCGAGCGUUAAUCGGAAUUACUGGGCGUAAAGGGUGCGUAGGUGGUAUGGUAAGUUAUCUGUGAAAUUCCCGGGCUUAACCUGGGGCGGUCAGAUAAGACUGCUGUACUUGAGUAUAGGAGAGGGUAGUGGAAUUUCCGGUGUAGCGGUGAAAUGCGUAGAGAUCGGAAGGAACACCAGUGGCGAAGGCGGCUACCUGGCCUAAUACUGACACUGAGGCACGAAAGCGUGGGGAGCAAAC